Molecule: ribosomal RNA, 497 nt
Filed under: uncultured bacterium
Lineage: Bacteria
Description: partial 16S ribosomal RNA
Rfam family: Bacterial small subunit ribosomal RNA
Source: RNAcentral
GAUGAACGCUGGCGGCGUGCCUAAUACAUGCAAGUCGAGCGAACAGACGAGGAGCUUGCUCCUCUGACGUUAGCGGCGGACGGGUGAGUAACACGUGGAUAACCUACCUAUAAGACUGGGAUAACUUCGGGAAACCGGAGCUAAUACCGGAUAAUAUAUUGAACCGCAUGGUUCAAUAGUGAAAGACGGUUUUGCUGUCACUUCUAGAUGGAUCCGCGCCGCAUUAGCUAGUUGGUAAGGUAACGGCUUACCAAGGCAACGAUGCGUAGCCGACCGGAGAGGGGGAUAGGCCACACUGGAGGUGAGACACGGUCCAGAGUCCUACGGGAGGCAGCAGUAGGGAAUCGUCCGCAAUGGGCGAAAGCCUGACGGAGCAACGCCGCGUGAGUGAUGAAGGUCUUCGGAGCGUAAAACUCUGUUAUUAGGGAAGAACAAAUGUGUAAGUAACUAUGCACGUCUUGACGGUACCGGAUCAGAAAGCCACGGCUAACUACGUG